GCAUGCAGUCGAGCGGUAAGGCCCCUUCGGGGGUACACGAGCGGCGCAAGGGAGAGUAACGCGUAGAUACGUGCCCUUCGGUGCGGGAUAGCCACGGGAAACUGUGGGUAAUACUGCAUAACGUCCCCGGACCAAAGAUUUAUCGCCGGGGGAGCGGUCUGCGUCCUAUUAGGUUGUUGGUGGGGUAAUGGCCUACCAAGCCAAAGAUGGGUACCGGGUGUGAGAGCAUGGCCCGGCUCACUGGGACUGAGACACUGCCCAGACACCUACGGGUGGCUGCAGUCGAGAAUCUUCCGCAAUGGACGAAAGUCUGACGGAGCGACGCCGCGUGCGGGAUGAAGGCCUUCGGGUUGUAAACCGCUGUCAGAGGGGAGCAAAGGCAACUUGAGCGAUCCUCAGAGGAAGACCGGGCUAAGUUCGUGCCAGCAGCCGCGGUAACACGAACCGGUCGAACGUUAUUCGGAAUCACUGGGCUUAAAGAGUCCGUAGGCGGAUUGGUAAGUCGGGUGUGAAAUCCCACGGCUCAACCGUGGAACUGCGCCCGAUACUGCCCGUCUUGAGGGAGACAGAGGCGAGCGGAACAGAUGGUGGAGCGGUGAAAUGCGUUGAUAUCAUCUGGAACACCGGUGGCGAAAGCGGCUCACUGGGUCUCUUCUGACGCUGANGGACGAAAGCUAGGGUAGCGAACGGGNNUAGAUACCCCGGUAGUCCUAGCUGUAAACGAUGAGCACUGGGUCGAGGGANCUUNCACNUUUUCUCGGNCGU
Molecule: ribosomal RNA, 765 nt
Filed under: uncultured bacterium
Lineage: Bacteria
Description: bacterial SSU rRNA
Rfam family: Bacterial small subunit ribosomal RNA
Source: RNAcentral